UACGAAGGGGGCUAGCGUUGUUCGGAAUUACUGGGCGUAAAGGGCGCGUAGGCGGCGUGUCAAGUCAGGCGUGAAAGCCCCGGGCUCAACCUGGGAACCGCGCUUGAGACUGGCAUGCUCGAGUUCGGGAGAGGUGAGUGGAAUUCCCAGUGUAGCGGUGAAAUGCGUAGAUAUUGGGAGGAACACCAGUGGCGAAGGCGGCUCACUGGACCGGUACUGACGCUCAUGCACGAAAGCGUGGGGAGCAAACAGG
RNAcentral lists this ribosomal RNA (253 nucleotides) under uncultured bacterium. RNAcentral's name for it is "partial 16S ribosomal RNA". It matches the Rfam family "Bacterial small subunit ribosomal RNA", at positions 524 to 776 of the family's 1533-position model. The record is from RNAcentral.